This 863-nucleotide ribosomal RNA is filed under the name Vibrio mediterranei. RNAcentral's name for it is "bacterial SSU rRNA". It matches the Rfam family "Bacterial small subunit ribosomal RNA", at positions 320 to 1177 of the family's 1533-position model. Lineage: Bacteria; Pseudomonadati; Pseudomonadota; Gammaproteobacteria; Vibrionales; Vibrionaceae. The record is from RNAcentral.
UGAGACACGGUCCAGACUCUACGGGAGGCAGCAGUGGGGAAUAUUGCACAAUGGGCGCAAGCUGAUGCAGCCAUGCCGCGUGUGUGAAGAAGGCCUUCGGGUUGUAAAGCACUUUCAGCAGUGAGGAAGGCGGGUACGUUAAUAGCGUAUUCGUUUGACGUUAGCUGCAGAAGAAGCACCGGCUAACUCCGUGCCAGCAGCCGCGGUAAUACGGAGGGUGCGAGCGUUAAUCGGAAUUACUGGGCGUAAAGCGCAUGCAGGUGGUUCGUUAAGUCAGAUGUGAAAGCCCGGGGCUCAACCUCGGAACUGCAUUUGAAACUGGCGGACUAGAGUACUGUAGAGGGGGGUAGAAUUUCAGGUGUAGCGGUGAAAUGCGUAGAGAUCUGAAGGAAUACCGGUGGCGAAGGCGGCCCCCUGGACAGAUACUGACACUCAGAUGCGAAAGCGUGGGGAGCAAACAGGAUUAGAUACCCUGGUAGUCCACGCCGUAAACGAUGUCUACUUGGAGGUUGUGGCCUUGAGCCGUGGCUUUCGGAGCUAACGCGUUAAGUAGACCGCCUGGGGAGUACGGUCGCAAGAUUAAAACUCAAAUGAAUUGACGGGGGCCCGCACAAGCGGUGGAGCAUGUGGUUUAAUUCGAUGCAACGCGAAGAACCUUACCUACUCUUGACAUCCAGAGAAGCCAGCGGAGACGCAGGUGUGCCUUCGGGAGCUCUGAGACAGGUGCUGCAUGGCUGUCGUCAGCUCGUGUUGUGAAAUGUUGGGUUAAGUCCCGCAACGAGCGCAACCCUUAUCCUUGUUUGCCAGCGAGUAAUGUCGGGAACUCCAGGGAGACUGCCUGUGAUAAACCGGAAGAAAGUGGG